RNAcentral lists this ribosomal RNA (341 nucleotides) under Polythore derivata. RNAcentral's name for it is "partial 16S ribosomal RNA". RNAcentral also lists the same sequence under 2 other names. The record is from RNAcentral. Lineage: Eukaryota; Metazoa; Arthropoda; Insecta; Odonata; Polythoridae.
AACGGCCGCGGUAUCUUGACCGUGCAAAGGUAGCAUAAUCAUUAGUCCUUUAAUAUGGGGCUGGUAUGAAGGGUUUAACGAGGAACUAGCUGUCUCAAUUUGAUUUAUUAAAAUUUAGCUUUUUAGUUAAAAGGCUAAAAUUUUGUUGGAAGACGAGAAGACCCUAUAGAGCUUUACAUUUACAUUUUGUAGGAUUAAUUUUGUUUUAUUUAUGUACUUCUUUANUUUAGGUGUUUUGUUGGGGUGACAUUAAAUAUAUAUUUAACUUUUAUUGUUCNGGGGACCAUUUAUUUAUGANAUAUUUGAUCCAUUCUUAAUGAUCUUUAGAAUAAGUUACCUUA